GGGCACAUGGUGUAGUUGGUUAUCACGCUCGCUUAGCAUCUUAAUCACGUGAUCUGCGAGAGGUGUCCGGUUCAAUUCCGGAUGUGUCCA
RNAcentral lists this transfer RNA (90 nucleotides) under Dentipellis sp. KUC8613. It matches the Rfam family "tRNA". Rfam says of the family: Transfer RNA (tRNA) molecules are approximately 80 nucleotides in length. Their secondary structure includes four short double-helical elements and three loops (D, anti-codon, and T loops). Lineage: Eukaryota; Fungi; Basidiomycota; Agaricomycetes; Russulales; Hericiaceae. The record is from Rfam by way of RNAcentral.